RNAcentral lists this ribosomal RNA (519 nucleotides) under Candida tropicalis. Its description in RNAcentral is "eukaryotic LSU rRNA". The stretch from base 170 to 323 matches the Rfam family "5.8S ribosomal RNA". The record is from RNAcentral. Lineage: Eukaryota; Fungi; Ascomycota; Pichiomycetes; Serinales; Debaryomycetaceae.
UCCGUAGGUGAACCUGCGGAAGGAUCAUUACUGAUUUGCUUAAUUGCACCACAUGUGUUUUUUAUUGAACAAAUUUCUUUGGUGGCGGGAGCAAUCCUACCGCCAGAGGUUAUAACUAAACCAAACUUUUUAUUUACAGUCAAACUUGAUUUAUUAUUACAAUAGUCAAAACUUUCAACAACGGAUCUCUUGGUUCUCGCAUCGAUGAAGAACGCAGCGAAAUGCGAUACGUAAUAUGAAUUGCAGAUAUUCGUGAAUCAUCGAAUCUUUGAACGCACAUUGCGCCCUUUGGUAUUCCAAAGGGCAUGCCUGUUUGAGCGUCAUUUCUCCCUCAAACCCCCGGGUUUGGUGUUGAGCAAUACGCUAGGUUUGUUUGAAAGCGUGGAAACUUAUUUUAAGCGACUUAGGUUUAUCCAAAACGCUUAUUUUGCUAGUGGCCACCACAAUUUAUUUCAUAACUUUGACCUCAAAUCAGGUAGGACUACCCGCUGAACUUAAGCAUAUCAAUAAGCGGAGGAA